GACGAACGCUGGCGGCGUGCUUAACACAUGCAAGUCGAACGGUGAAGCGCCUUCCUUUUUGGUGGGUGUGGAUGAGUGGCGAACGGGUGAGUAACACGUGAGUAACCUGCCCCCUUCUUCUGGAUAACCGCAUGAAAGUGUGGCUAAUACGGGAUAUUCUGGGUCUGUCGCAUGAUGGGUCUGGGACAGAUAUUGUUUCGGUGGGGGAUGGGCUCGCGGCCUAUCAGCUUGUUGGUGGGGUGAUGGCCUACCAAGGCGGUGACGGGUAGCCGGCCUGAGAGGGUGGACGGUCACACUGGGAAGGAGACACGGCCAAGACUCCUACAGGAGGCAGCAGGGGGGAAUAUUGCACAAUGGGCGCAAGCCUGAUGCAGCGACGCCGCGUGAGGGAUGGAGGCCUUCGGGUUGUGAACCUCUUUCGCCAGUGAAGCAGGCUUGCCUCGUCUGUGGGUGGGUUGACGGUAGCUGGAUAAGAAGCGCCGGCUAACUACGUG
RNAcentral lists this ribosomal RNA (494 nucleotides) under uncultured bacterium. RNAcentral's name for it is "partial 16S ribosomal RNA". It matches the Rfam family "Bacterial small subunit ribosomal RNA", at positions 28 to 507 of the family's 1533-position model. The record is from RNAcentral.